UGAGCCAGCUUGGAUCCACCGCAUCUGAGGAUCACCCCCAAGCUCCUCCUCGGUUUCCAACUUCGUGGUCCUUACCUGCACGCACCUCGUGGCUGGGACGGCGGUUGGUUUGGAUUCCCGUGUGCCUCGUCGAUCUCCCGGGCCGGUCAAUGGGAGCAGGGACCUAAUAGUAGCUGCAUGAUGCGAGCUCGUCGAACUCGACGGUUUUCCAGCCUGCGAAGUAGUGGAUCUCGUUCCCCUUAGCUCCUGCGCGAUUUUGGGAAUCUUGGGGGUGUUGUCCGUCCCCAAACGCCGAGCCGGAGUGGUCAUUGUUGUCCCCAAGCGAGGCACCCCGACGCAUCGUCUUCAACCUCAAAAGUGGCAGCCCGUCUUCGGCAUUGCAUUCUUCCACCUACAGGUCCCCCGAUCUCUCAUCUCCCUUUUUUUAUGUUUGUACGAUUGGACCUAUAUACUUUAAGGUACGUACUGCUUGCUAGUGACAAAUGUUACUAUCCUGCAUACUCGUUGUUGAUUUUCAUCCAGAUUGACUUCUUGUCCAUCUACAAAAUGGCGAUAGUAAGUUCUGGAUGGCUAACACAGCUUAAGGCAAAAUGUUUUUUUAGUUUAUGUCCUUUCCACUUUUUUUCCAGGCUUGUGACUGAAAUUGGUAGUGUUCUACCCCCUACAACCAUUAAUAUUCACAAAGUUAAGGAAGUAAUUAGUGUAUUUGUGAUUUUAAUAACUGAAUAGUAAAAUUGGGCCUGAUUGCAAUAUAAUAUAUAACGAUGCUUCGAUGCUUUCACCAUUGGAUUGUACUAUAGAAUAGGCUUGAAAUAUCAGAUGAUAUAUAGUGUCGAUGUUUGGUAUUAUUGAACUAUUUCCAUCAAAUGCUGAUGCAUGUUUCCAAUGCUUAUGCGGAGUAGUACACCAUAUCCAUGUACUUAUGGUUAUAUAAAAGGCUGUUAAAAUCCAUCUAGUUCACGGCGGAGGAGACGGCCUCUGCCCCGACGAAUCUUCAAGUCCACACCAAUCUACUACCUCCGUUCCUAAAUAUAAGCCCUUGUAGAGAUUCUAAUAUGGACUACAUACGAAGCAAAAUGAGUGAAUCUACACUCUAAAAUACGUCUAUAUAUAUCCGUAUGUAGUAUGUAUUGCAAUGUCUAAAAAGGCUUAUAUUUAGAAACGGAGGGAGUAGUUCAUAUGUAUGGAAGUAGUGGCGCAUGCUCUUUUAAAUAAAUCUUUUUGUAUGCCUGACCAAAUCAUUUGUUUUGUAUUGAUCAGUGUAUACCUGCACUUGACCUGAGUGCAUGGACAACUCUUAUGUAGUAAAUUCCAAAAGAGAUAAUGGAUGACGGUACCUUAGACUACAAAAUUGAUAAUUUAUAAUUAGUUGAGUGAAAUCGGUUUGGCUCUCCAUAUUUGAUGUGUUGAAGCACAAUAUGUGUAGCACUACCAAGAUUUGCUAUUUCGGCCAUUAGUCCGGCGGUACAAUGGUGAUUUCAAUAAUCCUGUAGUCUGUGGAUGUUGCUAUUCAGUAGGUUAAUAACGUGAACUCCUAUUUAAAAAACUAGUUUUAUCUGUCCUCAUAUUUUUAAUCAUCCAUUGAAUAUGAAUGGAAAAAGGUGAAAAUGCAGGUUAGAGAGGCGCACAUCUAUCUUAAGCACCUGGUAAUUUUCAGGAAUGGUUAUGCGGAUCAGACAUGUUACGUAUCUACAUAACAAACUGAGUACACCUCGUUUUUUAUUCUAUUGUCGUUAUAAACAAAAACCUUCUUUAUCAAUUCCUUGUGAUGCUAAAAACAAAUCUAAGUACAUAUUAGAAAGGAAGAUGUAAUAUCAAUAGAAUUCGCAUAAUUUAAUAUUAGCACAACUAAACAUUCAUAGUCUUGAAAGUGGAUUGCAUGCACACAUAAUAAGUUAAAUCCAUGUUCUCAUGGACUCUAAAGUAAACACAAUUGUAUGCCAAUGCAAAUUACUACUCCCUCCGUUCACAAAUAUAAGAUGUUUUGGAUAUUUCAAUAUGGACUACAUACAGACUGAAAUGAGUGAACAAACACACUAAAACAUGCUUAUAUACAUCCAAUUCACAAAAAAAUUAGAACAUCUUAUAUAUGUGACGGAAGGGAGUGCAAAGUAUAUAGAGUAUCUAGAAUAUAUUCGUAUUAGUUCAACUAAGGGGAUUAAGUAUGUAGUUUAGCACUUGCUACUGCCAUGUUCUAGCUUGUGUUCCUUCUAGGCGCUUCCCUAAUCCUCUUGUCUUCUGUUGAUUCUUUUCUCCUAUUUUUACAUGUAGUCCUUUUUUUGGUUUUUCCUGUAGAUUUUGAAUCCCAUUUGUUCACUAAAAUUUGAAUGUCAGUAACAUAAUUUCCCUGCUAGGCCUAGGCCAGCUUUAAUAGAAAAUUAAUUGUGUUCAGAUAUGCUUAUGGGGCAUGGUAGCACCAAGGUGCUAGUGCAUGUUCAUUCAAACAUAUAAAAUAUGAACUUUUUUUCUUAGAUGAGGGUACCUCAUCAUUGGUAUCGUCAAUGCUAAAAUGGUCAUGAUUUUUGUCUUGUACCUUAUAUUUUGAAAUAUAAAGUAGGACAUUUGUUUUUCUUAAUUAGGAAUGUAAAGUUUUGAUAUGUGUAAAGUGUUCUUUCAGGUACUCUUUUAAAUUUGUUGUGGGUAAGAAUUUUAACAUGUGUGAAGUUUCUUCAUAGUCUCUAUCUAAAUCAUCUUCUAAUGUAAUUACAUAUGGACAUACUUUCUUUUCGAAUAGAUUUGCCUGCAGUUUUUGGAAAUUCCUAAAAUAACAACAAUUAUUUAACACAUGUAGAAGAUGAGAAGUGAAAUACCUGAUCAUUGAGAAGUAUGUUCUCUGUAACCUUUUUUGCUUCAUUCGUGACUUCUGUUCCUUGGAUUUUCAGUAUGCUUUACAAAGAACAUGCUCGCAUUAUACUUUUGGUAACUAUUUGAACUUGUUUUCCGAUAUGGAUCCUGCUGGAGGUGGCUUGUUUUCGUGCAGAAGAUGGUACCUGCUGGAGGUGUUGUUGUCGCUAGACGGAACUAACAAUGUAGGUUGUGUCAUUGCUGGCUAGAGUUGAUCGGAAAAUCCUCAAUAUUGUGUACAAUGUUCUACAAGCACAAUAUUGGUCCAACAUCCGCGUCGAGCAGCCAUGCGUCAUUGCGAUGGGAGAAGUCGGUCUUCAGUCCCUCAUGGAGGCCAUGCAGUUCAUGGUGUACGUCUACAUCCAGCCCGGUGCUUUGUGGACAGACUUCUCUCGAGGAAGUUUGAGUGCGUCGGUGUUGCAGGAAUUCCUGAGUGAAUCUUGAAGGGGGUCUUUCUUUCCAGUAAAGUAUCUGCACGGAAGAUAGCUCUCUAUGUUAUUUGAUACACCAGAUCUUUUGUGUAUUUAGAUGUUCAUCUGUACUCUAAUCUAGUAGUAAUGAAACAAUAGUUUCUUCU
This is a long non-coding RNA of Triticum urartu, 3421 nucleotides long. RefSeq lists it as uncharacterized. The record is from RefSeq and is a predicted model, not a curated record. Lineage: Eukaryota; Viridiplantae; Streptophyta; Magnoliopsida; Poales; Poaceae.